CAGGCAAUAGGCAUAGAAACUGUCCGCUGCAGGUAAACAAGAGAACCGCAGACAAUGGACACACUUCUGGUUAUAAUACAGCGCGACUUUAUAUGUUUUCAUGUUGCCUUUACAUUAUGUCAAUUCAUCAGUUGGUUACAGUAACAGUUUAUGUUAUUCAGUCCAGGUAUGUUACUAUGUUAUGCUCAGCUGCUGUUAUAGUACAUGCUGUAUAUUGUAACUUUGAAUCUCCCACUCCCCACAGGAUAUAAUAUUCUCUGUUACCAUUUGUAUAGCAAGGCAGAGAGCAUUUACAGGUAUAUUGAUCCUUUAUCAACAAACGACAUUAUAUUAGUCUCAGACGUAUUGCUGAACUGGCUGUAAUACCUUAUCUGUUGAUCAUGUUGCUGAUGUCACUAUUAGAAGGAUAACAUGGUGACUAUUGAGUGUGAGGAACUGUUUUCAGGAAGUGUUUUCAGGAAGUGGGUUGGUACAUUAUCUUCAUGUCGUGAACAUCGUGUUCUUAAUGCAGAUAAACUAAUUAGUUGGUUUUGUGUUUGGAGGAUGCAGGGACACGUUUAGCAUUGUUCUGUGGUUUAAAAAUAAUUAUUUUCACAUACACCGGAUUAGGUGCAGUGAAAUGUGUUGUUUUACAGGGUCAGUCAUAGUAGUAUGAUAGGUGUUGUUUUACAGGGUCAGUCAUAGUAGUAUGAUAGCAGUGUUGUUUUACAGGGUCAGUCAUAGUAGUAUGAUAG
Long non-coding RNA from Oncorhynchus tshawytscha (Chinook salmon), 734 nucleotides. The record is from Ensembl. Lineage: Eukaryota; Metazoa; Chordata; Actinopteri; Salmoniformes; Salmonidae.